Molecule: ribosomal RNA, 501 nt
Filed under: uncultured bacterium
Lineage: Bacteria
Description: partial 16S ribosomal RNA
Rfam family: Bacterial small subunit ribosomal RNA
Source: RNAcentral
AUUGAACGCUGGCGGCAGGCUUAACACAUGCAAGUCGAGCGGGGGAAGGUAGCUUGCUACCGGACCUAGCGGCGGACGGGUGAGUAAUGCUUAGGAAUCUGCCUAUUAGUGGGGGACAACAUCUCGAAAGGGAUGCUAAUACCGUAUACGUCCUACGGGAGAAAGCAGGGGAUCUUCGGACCUUGCGCUAAUAGAUGAGCCUAAGUCGGAUUAGCUAGUUGGUGGGGGAAAGGCCUACCAAGGCGAAGAUCUGUAGCGGGUCUGAGAGGAUGAUCCGCCACACUGGGACUGAGACACGGCCCAGAGUCCUACGGGAGGCAGCAGUGGGGAAUAUUGGACAAUGGGGGGAACCCUGAUCCAGCCAUGCCGCGUGUGUGAAGAAGGCCUUAUGGUUGUAAAGCACUUUAAGCGAGGAGGAGGCUACUCUAGUUAAUACCUAGGGAUAGUGGACGUUACUCGCAGAAUAAGCACCGGCUAACUCUGUGCCAGCCGCCGCCGUAA